Molecule: ribosomal RNA, 1190 nt
Filed under: Acinetobacter baumannii
Lineage: Bacteria; Pseudomonadati; Pseudomonadota; Gammaproteobacteria; Moraxellales; Moraxellaceae
Description: partial 23S ribosomal RNA
Rfam family: Bacterial large subunit ribosomal RNA
Source: RNAcentral
GUUGUAUAGUCAAGUAAUUAAGUGCAUGUGGUGGAUGCCUUGGCAGUCAGAGGCGAUGAAAGACGUGAUAGCCUGCGAAAAGCUCCGGGGAGGCGGCAAAUAUCCUUUGAUCCGGAGAUGUCUGAAUGGGGGAACCCACCUACUUUAAGGUAGGUAUUGCAACAUGAAUACAUAGUGUUGCAAGGCGAACGAGGGGAAGUGAAACAUCUCAGUACCCUUAGGAAAAGAAANNNNNNNNNNUCAAUUGAGAUUCCCUCAGUAGCGGCGAGCGAACGGGGAUCAGCCCAUUAAGUUAUGUGUGUUUUAGUGGAACGCUCUGGGAAGUGCGAACGUAGAGGGUGAUAUUCCCGUACACGAAAGGGCACACAUAAUGAUGACGAGUAGGGCGAGGCACGUGAAACCUUGUCUNNNNNNNNNNNNNNNNNGAAUAUGGGGGGACCAUCCUCCAAGGCUAAAUACUCCUGACUGACCGAUAGUGAACCAGUACCGUGAGGGAAAGGCGAAAAGAACCCCUGUGAGGGGAGUGAAAUAGAUCCUGAAACCGCAUGCAUACAAGCAGUGGGAGCACCUUCGUGGUGUGACUGCGUACCUUUUGUAUAAUGGGUCAGCGACUUAUAUUCAGUAGCGAGGUUAACCGUAUAGGGGAGCCGUAGAGAAAUCGAGUCUUAAUAGGGCGUUUAGUUGCUGGGUAUAGACCCGAAACCAGGCGAUCUAUCCAUGAGCAGGUUGAAGGUUGGGUAACACUAACUGGAGGACCGAACCCACUGUCGUUGAAAAGCCAGGGGAUGACUUGUGGAUAGGGGUGAAAGGCUAAUCAAGCCUGGUGAUAGCUGGUUCUCCCCGAAAGCUAUUUAGGUAGCGCCUCGGACGAAUACCAUAGGGGGUAGAGCACUGUUUCGGCUAGGGGGUCAUCCCGACUUACCAAACCGAUGCAAACUCCGAAUACCUAUGAGUACUAUCCGGGAGACAGACUGCGGGUGCUAACGUCCGUAGUCAAGAGGAAAACAAUCCAGACCGCCAGCUAAGGCCCCAAAAUCAUAGUUAAGUGGGAAACGAUGUGGGAAGGCAUAGACAGCUAGGAGGUUGGCUUAGAAGCAGCCACCCUUUAAAGAAAGCGUAAUAGCUCACUAGUCGAGUCGGCCUGCGCGGAAGAUGUAACGGGGCUAAAACUAUGUGCCGAAGCUGCGGAU